This 243-nucleotide long non-coding RNA is filed under the name Gossypium raimondii (Peruvian cotton). RNAcentral describes it as "long non-coding RNA (GRAI_LNC002250)". Lineage: Eukaryota; Viridiplantae; Streptophyta; Magnoliopsida; Malvales; Malvaceae. The record is from RNAcentral.
GUUUUUUUUGUUUUUUUUUAAGGUUUGAGUUUUUAUUUUAUUAGGGUUAGGUUUAGGGUAUUUUGAAAGUGUUCAGGAUUUUCGACUGAAACGACGAAAGUUCUUAGAUAGUUUUGAGGGGUCAGGGAUGUGAUAACACGCCUCAGCACAAUACAUUUCAUAUGUAAUAGCGGGAUAGGACCAUCACUUAAGAAACCGGUCAUGGGGAAAUCCCGUUUCGGGGUAAUAAUGCUUGAUACAAUU